GGAAAUCAAGAAUGGCUGCAAAAAUAAUUUGGCAUUGUCUCCACUCUUUCUACAUGCUGUGUUGAAUUUGGUGGCUUCUGGCUCUACGGGACGUAUUUUGGAGCAGUUGCUAAGCUUUCUUGAAUCCGAAAGCAUUGGCUACCUAAAUGCUCAAUCUUCACAAAUGAUGACUCUUGUAACAACCACUGAGGAAUUUCUUGAACCUGAAAACACUGGUGAUCUCAAUUAUUCCCAGUCUUCCCAGACAACCACAGAAGAAGGAUCUUCCAGGAGAAGCAAUGAACUGCAAAAUAACCCAUCUGUGUUUGGGUUUUCGUUUCAUCGCUCUCCACCAUUUGGCAGUGUUGGAUUUGGUAACAGAGUCACAGGACCAUCAUCCUUAUUUUCAAGCACGGAUGAAUCGACCUAGUGUCCCUUUUCUUCUGCUAAUGGAAAUGCAGGAUCUUUGGGAUAAUUCACUUUUUAUCCCAAAUUCACCAGGUUACUAU
This 488-nucleotide unclassified non-coding RNA is filed under the name Hevea brasiliensis (rubber tree). The record is from RNAcentral. Lineage: Eukaryota; Viridiplantae; Streptophyta; Magnoliopsida; Malpighiales; Euphorbiaceae.